Molecule: unclassified non-coding RNA, 221 nt
Filed under: Podospora sp.
Lineage: Eukaryota; Fungi; Ascomycota; Sordariomycetes; Sordariales; Podosporaceae
Description: partial internal transcribed spacer region
Rfam family: Eukaryotic small subunit ribosomal RNA (bases 1-46)
Source: RNAcentral
AAGUCGUAACAAGGUCUCCGUUGGUGAACCAGCGGAGGGAUCAUUACCGAGUUCUUACAGAACCCAACCCUUGUGUGAUAAGCUCUCACCCAGCUUUUACACGGAAGUCUCGGCCUAAUCGCCGAGGCAGUGUAAAAAAAAAAACCUCUGUAUCAUUAUCACAAAUUUCUGAAGACUUUUUAAAAGAGUCAAAACUUUCAACAACGGAUCUCUUGGUUCUG